This 776-nucleotide ribosomal RNA is filed under the name uncultured Neocallimastigales. RNAcentral describes it as "partial large subunit ribosomal RNA". It matches the Rfam family "Eukaryotic large subunit ribosomal RNA", at positions 24 to 614 of the family's 3401-position model. The record is from RNAcentral. Lineage: Eukaryota; Fungi; Neocallimastigomycota; Neocallimastigomycetes; Neocallimastigales.
UAUCUCUGUAGAGUCUGCAUAUCAAUAAGCGGAGGAAAAGAAACUAACUAGGAUUCCCUCAGUAACGGCGAGUGAAGCGGGAAGAGCUCAAAUUUGAAAUCUUCAAGGUUUUACCUUGACGAAUUGUAGUUUAAAGAAGUGUUUUCUGUUGGAGUUUUGGUAAAAGUUCUUUGGAAUAGGACAUCAUAGAGGGUGAGAAUCCCGUAUUUGACCAUUAUUUCCAGCUUUGUGAUACACUUUCAAAGAGUCGGAUUGUUUGGGAAUGCAGUCCAAAAUGGGUGGUAAAUUUCAUCUAAAGCUGAAUACUGGCGAGAGACCGAUAGCGAACAAGUACCGUGAGGGAAAGAUGAAAAGAACUUUGAAAAGAGAGUUAAACAGUACGUGAAAUUGUCAAAAGGGAAGCGUUUGACACCAGUGUUGUUUUCUCGAAAAUCAAUUAAAAAUGACUGGAUUUUGUGUUGUAUUGACUUUAUCAGCUUUCUGCACUCUUUUCCUGUCUUUUUUAAUGCACUUUUCGUUUAGCAAGUCAACAUCAAUUUCUUUUGUUGUAAAAGAGUCAUUGGAAGGUGGCUUUCUUUUCGGAGAAAGUGUUUAUAGCCUUUGGCCUCUGCAAUCGGAGAGAUUGAGGUCUGCAGCGUAGAUCCUUCGGGGUUAGAUACAUUUGUGCUAAGUUAUAACCGUUUCAUAGACAACUUGUUGACUAUAUUCGAUCAUGUAGCUUACUCGCUUAUGCUAAUUUUACCUACGCUUAGGAUGUUGAGUCAUCACACAUCUCU